RNAcentral lists this ribosomal RNA (428 nucleotides) under Chloroflexota bacterium. RNAcentral's name for it is "Chloroflexi bacterium partial 16S ribosomal RNA". It matches the Rfam family "Bacterial small subunit ribosomal RNA", at positions 355 to 776 of the family's 1533-position model. The record is from RNAcentral. Lineage: Bacteria; Bacillati; Chloroflexota.
UGGGGAAUAUUGCACAAUGGGCGCAAGCCUGAUGCAGCCAUGCCGCGUGUGUGAAGAAGGCCUUCGGGUUGUAAAGCACUUUCAGCGGGGAGGAAGGCGUUAAGGUUAAUAACCUUGGCGAUUGACGUUACCCGCAGAAGAAGCACCGGCUAACUCCGUGCCAGCAGCCGCGGUAAUACGGAGGGUGCAAGCGUUAAUCGGAAUUACUGGGCGUAAAGCGCACGCAGGCGGUUUGUUAAGUCAGAUGUGAAAUCCCGGGCUCAACCUGGGAACUGCAUCUGAUACUGGCAAGCUUGAGUCUCGUAGAGGGGGGUAGAAUUCCAGGUGUAGCGGUGAAAUGCGUAGAGAUCUGGAGGAAUACCGGUGGCGAAGGCGGCCCCCUGGACGAAGACUGACGCUCAGGUGCGAAAGCGUGGGGAGCAAACAGG